GCAAACUUGGUCAUUUAGAGGAAGUAAAAGUCGUAACAAGGUUUCCGUAGGUGAACCUGCGGAAGGAUCAUUACAGUGGGUCUCGGCCCGCGAGAUAGCCAUCCUUGCCUUUUGAGUACUUGCUGUUUCCUCGGUGGGCCUGCCCACCAACGGGGACUACUAUAUCCACCUUUUGCAGUAGUAUGUAAAUGUCUGAUACUAAUCAAUUAUCACAACUUUCAACAAUGGAUCUCUUGGUUCUGGCAUCGAUGAAGAACGCAGC
Molecule: unclassified non-coding RNA, 262 nt
Filed under: uncultured fungus
Lineage: Eukaryota; Fungi
Description: partial contains small subunit ribosomal RNA, internal transcribed spacer 1, and 5.8S ribosomal RNA
Rfam family: Eukaryotic small subunit ribosomal RNA (bases 1-73)
Source: RNAcentral